GAUGAACGCUGGCGGCGUGCCUAAUACAUGCAAGUCGAGCGAACGGACGCUAAGCUUGCUUCUCUGAUGUUAGCCGCACACGGGUGAGUAACACGUGUAUAACCUCCCUAUAUGACUGGUAUAACUUCGGGACACCGGAGCUUAUACCGGAUAAUAUUUUGAACCACAUUGUUCAAAAGUGAAAUACGGUCUUGCUGGCGGGUGUCGAUGGAUCCGCGCUGUAUUAGCUUGUUGUUAAGGUAGCGGCUUACCAAGGCUAUGACGGGUAGCCGACCUGAGAGGGUGACCGGCCACAUGGGGACUGAGAUACGGCCCAGACGCCUACGGGAGGCAGCAGUGGGAAAUAUUGCACAAUGGGCGGAAGCGUGAUGCAACAACGCCGCGUGCGGGAUGACGGCCUUCGGGUUGUAAACCGCUUUCGCCUGUGACGAAGCGUGAGUGACGGUAAUGGGUAAAGAAGCACCGGCUAACUACGUG
This 477-nucleotide ribosomal RNA is filed under the name uncultured bacterium. RNAcentral's name for it is "partial 16S ribosomal RNA". It matches the Rfam family "Bacterial small subunit ribosomal RNA", at positions 28 to 507 of the family's 1533-position model. The record is from RNAcentral.